GAUGAAGAACGCAGCGUAAUGCGAUAAGUAAUGUGAAUUGCAGAAUUCAGUGAAUCAUCGAAUCUUUGAACGCACAUUGCGCCCGCCAGCAUUCUGGCGGGCAUGCCUGUUCGAGCGUCAUUUCAACCCUCGAGCCCCCCCGGGGGCCUCGGUGUUGGGGGACGGCACACCAGCCGCCCCCGAAAUGCAGUGGCGACCCCGCCGCAGCCUCCCCUGCGUAGUAGCACACACCUCGCACCGGAGCGCGGAGGCGGUCACGCCGUAAAACGCCCAACUUUCUUAGAGUUGACCUCGGAUCAGGUAGGAAUACCCGCUGAACUUAAGCAUAUCAAUAAGCGGAGGA
Molecule: unclassified non-coding RNA, 343 nt
Filed under: soil metagenome
Description: partial contains 5.8S ribosomal RNA, internal transcribed spacer 2, and large subunit ribosomal RNA
Rfam family: 5.8S ribosomal RNA (bases 1-120)
Source: RNAcentral